UUUCAUUCGAGUGGAGUAUAUUUGGUUGGGCUGCAAAUUCAGAUAACGUACUAAUACGAAGAGCCAUGAAGUUCUUCAACAGCCUUUCAGUAUGAAUAGUGAUCAUAAAAUAAUGAAGCUCACUACUUUUAAGAUGGACUUCAAAUCCAUAUUAUUUUUCUCCCUCAGUGCUCCAUGACCUUUACGAAGAGCAAAAAAGGAAAGCAUUACUUAUUCAUUCCAAAAUGUUAAAGGCUUACCAGAGCAGGAGCACAUAACAUUGGAUGUGACUUCUUCCACAUGAAUGCAAGCAAAAUAAGCCAGUUUUCCUCCUUUCCCCAAAUGAAAGCCUCCUCAAGUAACUGAAAAUGGAUGCUCAUUUUCAAAGAAAUAUCUUCAAGAUGAAGACAGAUUGCAUGUUUGAGCUUUGAGAAUUAUCACGCACUUCUUGACGAGGGGAUGGAAACUUCUUUUUCAUGGAAAUGAGCAGCAGUGAAUCACCAGAGCCAGCCAGGUUACCCAGAGCCCUCCCGUCUCUUUGUCCAGUGCUGCAAAACUUGGAUUUUCUAAGGACGAGAGGCAGAUGGCAUCCAGGUGCUUGGUACUGCGGAGUAAGCUUUCCUGUAUCCUCUUAAUCAGCAAUGCAGCACGCUCUGCCAAUGUAUCGUGUAUUUCUUCUUCUCCCCCUGUCAGUCUGUCUAGGAGAAAGCCAUGGAAAUAAUAGAAUCUGCACUUGUCAGGCUGACCUCAAAAUCAAAUUCUCUCUUGAUUUGUAAAAUUCAGCCAACCUACUUGAAAGUUGAUUCCACCACUUACUCCUGUCACUCUCUUUUCUCUACUUACUGAGUACACCACUCUUUUUUGUAUCUGAAAUGCAUGUCAGCAGACAUUAUGUUUGAGUUCAUAUAGUGUGAUAGUCCAAUAGAGAAAUACAAUUUUAGAAAUUGCAGUUAUUCCUUUAGAAAUCAGCUAGUCAGGGGAAAGGUGGCAGGAGAGCUGAGAGGAGAGACCUAAAGUGGCUGCUGCAGCUGUUUGGCUAAUGCAGGGGAAUUCUGAGGCAAUAUAGAUUUUUACAGGUCAUUUCUGAAUAGCAAGGGUACACAGGUGAGAAAGUAUCUGGGCUUUAAUGACAGCUUAGCCUCCGUUUUGUAUUUUGAGUUCAGGAAAGGUAGGUAAUCAAUCUGUGCCUCAGUUCUUUGUCAAUAAAACCAGGGUAAGAACACA
Long non-coding RNA from Anser brachyrhynchus (Pink-footed goose), 1203 nucleotides. The record is from Ensembl. NCBI's taxonomy places the organism in Eukaryota, Metazoa, Chordata, Aves, Anseriformes, Anatidae.